GUUCAACGGCCGCGGUACCCUAACCGUGCGAAGGUAGCAUAAUCACUUGUUCUUUAAAUAAGGACUAGUAUCAACGGCAUCACGAGGGCUACCUGUCUCCUUUCUCCAAUCAGUGAAACUGAUCUCCCCGUGAAGAAGCGGGGAUUAAUUUAUAAGACGAGAAGACCCCAUGGAGCUUUAAACUCAUCAUACACCUCGUUUACAUUAUAACCUAAAAGACUUGUAUGCUAGUUUUAGGUUGGCCGCUAAAAAUUAACCUCCGCAACAAAUGGGCUACGCCCUUAUAAGAACAACAGUUCUAAGAAUCAACAAACUGAUGUUUAAUGACCCGAAUUAUCGAUCAACGAACCAAGUUACCCUGGGGAUAACAGCGCAAUCUAUUCAAGAGCUCCUAUCGACAAGUGGGUUUACGACCUCUGUUGGAUCAGGGUAUCCCAGUGGUGCAGCCGCUACUAAAGGUUCGUUUGUUC
This 470-nucleotide ribosomal RNA is filed under the name Meristogenys phaeomerus (Kapit Borneo frog). RNAcentral's name for it is "partial 16S ribosomal RNA". It matches the Rfam family "Bacterial large subunit ribosomal RNA", at positions 1922 to 2582 of the family's 2925-position model. Lineage: Eukaryota; Metazoa; Chordata; Amphibia; Anura; Ranidae. The record is from RNAcentral.